Bos taurus (domestic cattle) is the source of this 1141-nucleotide long non-coding RNA. The record is from Ensembl. Lineage: Eukaryota; Metazoa; Chordata; Mammalia; Artiodactyla; Bovidae.
AGAAAGAGCAGUGCUGGACAGAGAGCUUAGCCCUGCAAGACCUCUCCCGUGAUCACAUCUAGGGAGUGUAAGCUGGAUUUGUUGGGGAAAAGAGCAGGCACCCCUACCACAGCCUCCUGGACUGGAGAGGCCCAACCUGCCCAACCUCAGCUCAACCUGGAGUGCCGGCCACACUGGACACGUCCAGUCCUGUUGCAUAACUUCUUGCCCCUCCCCCAUAGUACGUGUCUGUAUGUCUGAGAGCCAGCUAAGCACCCAUCCUCCCCAGAAGGGAAGUCUGAGGAUUGAUAACCUCAACCUGAACCCGAACCUGCCCCAGCCUUUCUCCACUUCAGCCUGCCAGCAGCUUCCAGCUUUGGCUUCACUCAUUUUAUUCAUAGCCUCAUUCCAGCAACCCCUGGGCACCCCAGGAGAUGGCCCCUCACCACCCCUGUUAUGGGAUUCUGCUUCAAUCACACAAUUAAUCAACAGGAAACCCAAAUCCAGACCCAAUGGAGAAAAUAAAGGGAAAGGAGAUCAACUAUUCCAAAGGCCAGAUCAGCUCAAUGCAAUGAAGGAAGGAGGAGGAUGCAGGCUACACCAGAAUCCUGGGUUCUCAGCUGGACCACACACAACAGAUUGGAGGCAAGAAGAGUGGCAGAGGUGUUGUUAAUUUCCUGCCUCAUCAAGCAUGGCUCACGAAUACGGCAGCUUAAAUCCCCAGCAGCAGUAGGAGCUGGCAACAGGCAACCUGCUGUAAGGGAUAAAGAUGGCAAGGUCUGAGCACCAGGGACUUGGAUGGACAGAGGUCAAAGAGGUUUCCCGGGCAGCUGAAAGACUUCCAUCCACUUUGGAUUUGAUCAUCUCACCUUGUAUUUGUCCGUGAUCCCAAACACUAAUCCUGCAAUCUACUGUGUCAUAAGGUAAAUAAGCGCCAGGCACUGCCCUAGGCUCUACAGAUGCUCUGAUGGACAAGACAUGCUUCCUGUGUCUGAAGAACAUCCAGCUUCAUUGAUGUCAACACAAAAUAAAACACAGCAUGAUAAAUCCUGAUGAAGAAAAGGCAAUGGCACCCCACUCCAGUACUCUUGCCUGGAAAAUCCCAUGGAUGGAGGAGCCUGGUGGGCUGCAGUCCAUGGAGUCGCUAAGAGUCGGACACGAC